This 1388-nucleotide ribosomal RNA is filed under the name uncultured bacterium. Its description in RNAcentral is "bacterial SSU rRNA". It matches the Rfam family "Bacterial small subunit ribosomal RNA". The record is from RNAcentral.
GAAUUCGCCCUUAGAGUUUGAUCCUGGCUCAGGAUGAACGCUGGCGGCGUGCUUAACACAUGCAAGUCGAACGGACUCAUAUUGAAACCUAGUGAUUUAUGAGUUAGUGGCGGACGGGUGAGUAACGCGUGGAAAACCUGCCGUAUACCGGGGGAUAACACUUAGAAAUAGGUGCUAAUACCGCAUAAGCGCACAGCUUCGCAUGAAGCAGUGUGAAAAACUCCGGUGGUAUAUGAUGGUUCCGCGUCUGAUUAGCUAGUUGGCGGGGUAACGGCCCACCAAGGCAGCGAUCAGUAGCCGGCCUGAGAGGGUGAACGGCCACAUUGGGACUGAGACACGGCCCAAACUCCUACGGGAGGCAGCAGUGGGGAAUAUUGCACAAUGGGGGAAACCCUGAUGCAGCGACGCCGCGUGAGUGAAGAAGUAUUUCGGUAUGUAAAGCUCUAUCAGCAGGGAAGAAAAUGACGGUACCUGACUAAGAAGCCCCGGCUAACUACGUGCCAGCAGCCGCGGUAAUACGUAGGGGGCAAGCGUUAUCCGGAUUUACUGGGUGUAAAGGGAGCGUAGACGGCAGCGCAAGUCUGGAGUGAAAUGCCGGGGCCCAACCCCGGAACUGCUUUGGAAACUGUGCAGCUUGAGUGCGGGAGAGGUAAGUGGAAUUCCUAGUGUAGCGGUGAAAUGCGUAGAUAUUAGGAGGAACACCAGUGGCGAAGGCGGCUUACUGGACCGUAACUGACGUUGAGGCUCGAAAGCGUGGGGAGCAAACAGGAUUAGAUACCCUGGUAGUCCACGCUGUAAACGAUCAAUACUAGGUGUGCGGGGACUGACCCCCUGCGUGCCGGAGUUAACACAAUAAGUAUUGCACCUGGGGAGUACGAUCGCAAGGUUGAAACUCAAAGGAAUUGACGGGGGCCCGCACAAGCGGUGGAUUAUGUGGUUUAAUUCGAAGCAACGCGAAGAACCUUACCAGGGCUUGACAUCCUACUAACGAAGUAGAGAUACAUUAGGUGCCCUUCGGGGAAAGUAGAGACAGGUGGUGCAUGGUUGUCGUCAGCUCGUGUCGUGAGAUGUUGGGUUAAGUCCCGCAACGAGCGCAACCCUUAUUGUUAGUUGCUACGCAAGAGCACUCUAGCGAGACUGCCGUUGACAAAACGGAGGAAGGUGGGGACGACGUCAAAUCAUCAUGCCCCUUAUGUCCUGGGCUACACACGUAAUACAAUGGCGGCCAACAGAGGGAUGCAAAGCUGUGAAGUGGAGCGAACCCCUAAAAGCCGUCCCAGUUCAGAUUGCAGUCUGCAACUCGACUGCAUGAAGUCGGAAUCGCUAGUAAUCGCGGAUCAGCAUGCCGCGGUGAAUACGUACCCGGGCCUUGCACUCACCGCCCGUCA